AGAGUUUGAUCCUGGCUCAGGACGAACGCUGGCGGCGUGCCUAAUACAUGCAAGUCGAGCGGACGGAUGGGAGCUUGCUCCCUGAAGUCAGCGGCGGACGGGUGAGUAACACGUGGGCAACCUGCCUGUAAGACUGGGAUAACUCCGGAAAACCGGGGCUAAUACCGGAUAAUUCUUUCCCUCACAUGAGGGAAAGCUGAAAGAUGGCUUCGGCUAUCACUUACAGAUGGGCCCGCGGCGCAUUAGCUAGUUGGUGAGGUAACGGCUCACCAAGGCAACGAUGCGUAGCCGACCUGAGAGGGUGAUCGGCCACACUGGGACUGAGACACGGCCCAGACUCCUACGGGAGGCAGCAGUAGGGAAUCUUCCGCAAUGGACGAAAGUCUGACGGAGCAACGCCGCGUGAGUGAUGAAGGUUUUCGGAUCGUAAAACUCUGUUGUUAGGGAAGAACAAGUGCCGGAGUAACUGCCGGCACCUUGACGGUACCUAACCAGAAAGCCACGGCUAACUACGUGCCAGCAGCCGCGGUAAUACGUAGGUGGCAAGC
RNAcentral lists this ribosomal RNA (548 nucleotides) under Bacillus sp. S36(2016). Its description in RNAcentral is "bacterial SSU rRNA". It matches the Rfam family "Bacterial small subunit ribosomal RNA", at positions 8 to 539 of the family's 1533-position model. The record is from RNAcentral. Lineage: Bacteria; Bacillati; Bacillota; Bacilli; Caryophanales; Bacillaceae.